AUUGAACGCUGGCGGCAGGCCUAACACAUGCAAGUCGAGCGGAUGAAGGGAGCUUGCUCCUGGAUUCAGCGGCGGACGGGUGAGUAAUGCCUAGUAAUCUGCCUGGUAGUGGGGGAUAACGUCCGGAAACGGGCGCUAAUACCGCAUACGUCCUGAGGGAGAAAGUGGGGGAUCUUCGGACCUCACGCUAUCAUAUGAGCCUAGGUCGGAUUAGCUAGUUGGUGGGGUAAAGGCCUACCAAGGCGACGAUCCGUAACUGGUCUGAGAGGAUGAUCAGUCAUACUGGAACUGAGACACGGUCCAGACUCCUACGGGAGGAAGGAGUGGGGAAUAUUGGACAAUGGGCGAGAGCGUGAUCCAGCCAUGCCGCGUGUGUGAAGAAGGUCUUCGGAUUGUAAAGCACUUUAAGUUGGGAGGAAGGGCAGUAAGUUAAUACCUUGCUGUUUUGACGUUACCAACAGAAUAAGCACCGGCUAACUUCGUG
This 484-nucleotide ribosomal RNA is filed under the name uncultured bacterium. Its description in RNAcentral is "partial 16S ribosomal RNA". It matches the Rfam family "Bacterial small subunit ribosomal RNA", at positions 30 to 507 of the family's 1533-position model. The record is from RNAcentral.